RNAcentral lists this small RNA (547 nucleotides) under Pongo abelii (Sumatran orangutan). Its description in RNAcentral is "processed transcript". Lineage: Eukaryota; Metazoa; Chordata; Mammalia; Primates; Hominidae. The record is from RNAcentral.
GAGAGGGGUCGGGCACUCAGAGGAUGCUCUGACCUUGAAAGGGUCCUAUUUGGAGAGGAGGGAGUAGAACGUGCUGAAUGUGUGCGGUUCAGGGAGCAUUUGGCAACCCUGCAUUUGGGAGCAGUGGGCAGUAACAGGUUUUGGAGAGGUGGACAUAUAGGGACUGUGAUCAGCGCCCGGGUCCAAGAGGGCGGGUACCUGUAUGUCUGGAUGCCUCACCCUCUCCCCGAACCCUUCCCACAGCCGUACCCGUGCGCAGAGGACCAGGAGUGCGGCACUGAUGAGUACUGCGCUAGUCCCACCCGCGGAGGGGACGCGGUCGUGCAAAUCUGUCUAGCCUGCAGGAAGCGCCGAAAACGCUGCAUGCGUCACGCUAUGUGCUGCCCCGGGAAUUACUGCAAAAAUGGAAUAUGUGUGUCUUCUGAUCAAAAUCAUUUCCGAGGAGAAAUUGAGGAAACCAUCACUGAAAGCUUUGGUAAUGAUCAUAGCACCUUGGAUGGGUAUUCCAGGAGAACCACCUUGUCUUCAAAAAUGUAUCACACCAAAG